Molecule: long non-coding RNA, 604 nt
Filed under: Coffea arabica (coffee)
Lineage: Eukaryota; Viridiplantae; Streptophyta; Magnoliopsida; Gentianales; Rubiaceae
Description: long non-coding RNA (CARA_LNC007161)
Source: RNAcentral
GGUAACUUGAAUUACCAAGACAGAUUUAAGUUGGUUUUUGGCCAACUUUAGAAAUUCGGCAAAAUUCACUUGUUUUGAACUAACCUUUGAAAUUUGGAAAUCAAUUAGUGUUGCAAUCCAAGAGUAUAACAAAACAAGCGGAACGAGAAAUGGAGUUUCGAGCACCAAGAUAUAGUACCUCCAAGUUGCUGAAAAAGUUAAGACUGUUGGGCUAUUUUCCAGGUUUAAAACUAGAUUCGAAAUAUCAUUUGGUCAUCAAGUUGGCAUUAGAAAUACAUCAAACUUGGUACACUAAAUCUUCCAUGUGUGAAAAACAUUUCUACUAAGUUUCGUACAAAAACUCUCACGGUAAGGUAGUCAUUAAAACAACCAAAGUUUAUGAAGAGUUUCAAGGCUAAACUACCUUCUCACUUUUCUUUCGUUUACAAACUUUUUGUACCAUGAAAUCAGUUUCAAAUCUCUCCAUUAUUGAAACCAAGAGUUCAUAAACAUCCACUGAGCAAUUUAAAGACCAUUGACAUCCAAAUUCUAGAAAUAAAACUCUCCAAAUCAGAUUUGACCAUUUGGCUAAGAGAAAACGAAAAGUUUUCCAGAUUCGAUGAGC